CUGCUGCCUCCCGUAGGAGUCUGGUCCGUGUCUCAGUACCAGUGUGGGGGACCUUCCUCUCAGAACCCCUAGACAUCGUCGCCUUGGUGGGCCGUUGCCCCGCCAACUAGCUAAUGUCACGCAUGCCCAUCCGUUGCCGGAAUCGCUCCCUUUGGCCGCAGGGCCGUGCAGCCCCGCGGCGUUACGCGGUAUUAGACGGGAUUUCUCCCGAUUAUCCCCCCUGCAACGGGCAGGUCGCAUACGCGUUACUCACCCGUGCGCCGG
This 264-nucleotide ribosomal RNA is filed under the name uncultured bacterium. Its description in RNAcentral is "partial 16S ribosomal RNA". The record is from RNAcentral.